RNAcentral lists this ribosomal RNA (220 nucleotides) under uncultured fungus. RNAcentral describes it as "partial 18S ribosomal RNA". The stretch from base 40 to 220 matches the Rfam family "Eukaryotic small subunit ribosomal RNA", at positions 686 to 869 of the family's 1831-position model. Lineage: Eukaryota; Fungi. The record is from RNAcentral.
GGGUCAGCAGGUUGGUCGUGCCAAUGGUAUGCACUGGCCUUGCUGAUUCCUACCUCUUGAUGAGCCAUAAUGUCAUUAAUUUGGUGUCGCGGGGAAUCAGGACUGUUACUUUGAAAAAUUAGAGUGUUUAAAGCAGGCAAGCGCUUGAAUACAUUAGCAUAGAAUAAUGAAAUAGGACGUUCGAUCCUAUUUUGUUGGUUUCUAGGAUUGACGUAAUGAU